ACAUCCAAAUCGAGUAAUAAUAUUCUUGUAUAGAAAUGUGGCCACUGUAUUGGCAUUAUCAUUGCGGGUAGCAAUAGCCUCUGUCCAUUUGGUUACAUAGUCCGUGGCCACUAAAAUAUACCGCUUUUGUCCAUGUCUCGAUGUUGGUGCAAUGGGUCCAACAAAAUCAAUUCUCCAUUUCUCAAAUGGUACAUGUACGAAGAUU
This 205-nucleotide long non-coding RNA is filed under the name Physcomitrium patens. RNAcentral describes it as "long non-coding RNA (PPAT_LNC011088)". Lineage: Eukaryota; Viridiplantae; Streptophyta; Bryopsida; Funariales; Funariaceae. The record is from RNAcentral.